UGGGUUGUGGCUCAGUGGUAGAGCGCCCACCUAGUGUGUGAGACCCUGGGUUUGAUUCUCAGCACCACAU
RNAcentral lists this transfer RNA (70 nucleotides) under Marmota marmota marmota (Alpine marmot). It matches the Rfam family "tRNA". Rfam says of the family: Transfer RNA (tRNA) molecules are approximately 80 nucleotides in length. RNAcentral also lists the same sequence under 1 other name. The record is from Rfam by way of RNAcentral. Lineage: Eukaryota; Metazoa; Chordata; Mammalia; Rodentia; Sciuridae.